Molecule: ribosomal RNA, 1287 nt
Filed under: uncultured bacterium
Lineage: Bacteria
Description: bacterial SSU rRNA
Rfam family: Bacterial small subunit ribosomal RNA
Source: RNAcentral
GGGGCAGCGGGGAGGAAGCUUGCUUUCUCCGCCGGCGACCGGCGCACGGGUGAGUAACACGUAUGCAACCUGCCCCUGUCAGGGGGACAACCCGCCGAAAGGCGGGCUAAACCCGCGUACAUGCCACCGGGGCAUCCCGGAGGCAGGAAAGGCUUCGGCCGGACAGGGAUGGGCAUGCGGCGCAUUAGGCAGUAGGCGGGGUAACGGCCCACCUAACCGACGAUGCGUAGGGGUUCUGAGAGGAAGGUCCCCCACACUGGUACUGAGACACGGACCAGACUCCUACGGGAGGCAGCAGUGAGGAAUAUUGGUCAAUGGUCGGGAGACUGAACCAGCCAAGCCGCGUGAGGGAGGAAGGUACAGAGUAUCGUAAACCUCUUUUGUCAGGGAACAAAGGCGGGGACGUGUCCCCGGAUGAGUGUACCUGAAGAAAAAGCAUCGGCUAACUCCGUGCCAGCAGCCGCGGUAAUACGGAGGAUGCGAGCGUUAUCCGGAUUUAUUGGGUUUAAAGGGUGCGCAGGCGGUCUGUUAAGUCAGCGGUCAAAGCCCGGGGCUCAACCCCGGCCCGCCGUUGAAACUGGCAGUCUCGAGUUGGAGAGAAGUAUGCGGAAUGCGCGGUGUAGCGGUGAAAUGCAUAGAUAUCGCGCAGAAUUCCGAUUGCGAAGGCAGCAUGCCGGCUCCACACUGACGCUGAGGCACGAAAGCGUGGGUAUCGAACAGGAUUAGAUACCCUGGUAGUCCACGCAGUAAACGAUGAAUGCUGGCUGUCCGGGGGGACUGACCCCUGGGUGGCGAAGCGAAAGCGAUAAGCAUUCCACCUGGGGAGUACGCCGGCAACGGUGAAACUCAAAGGAAUUGACGGGGGCCCGCACAAGCGGAGGAACAUGUGGUUUAAUUCGAUGAUACGCGAGGAACCUUACCCUGGCUCAAACGGGGAGUGGCGCAGGCAGAGACGCCUGUUUCCCACGGGACACUCCCCGAGGUGCUGCAUGGUUGUCGUCAGCUCGUGCCGUGAGGUGUCGGCUUAAGUGCCAUAACGAGCGCAACCCCCGCGUGCAGUUGCUAACAGUCAACGCUGAGGACUCUGCACGGACUGCCGGCGCAAGCCGCGAGGAAGGCGGGGAUGACGUCAAAUCAGCACGGCCCUUACGUCCGGGGCGACACACGUGUUACAAUGGGUGGUACAGCGGGAAGCCAGGCGGCGACGCCGAGCGGAACCCGAAAUCCACUCUCAGUUCGGAUCGGAGUCUGCAACCCGACUCCGUGAAGCUGGAUUCGCUAGUAAUC